This 125-nucleotide small RNA is filed under the name Marmota monax (woodchuck). Lineage: Eukaryota; Metazoa; Chordata; Mammalia; Rodentia; Sciuridae. The record is from RNAcentral.
GCUGGGCAUGGCGGUGCACCCCUGUAAUCCUAGUGGCUCAGGAAGCUGAGGCAGGAGGAUUAUGAGUUCAAAGCCAGCCUCAGCAAAAGCAAAGUGCUAAGCAACUCAGUAAGACCCUGUCUCUG